GGGUUCUUGGCGGAGUGGUCUAACGCGACCGACUUAAGCUCGGUUUCCUUCGGGAGCGCAGGUUCGAACCCUGCAGAACCUA
Molecule: transfer RNA, 82 nt
Filed under: Rickettsiales bacterium
Lineage: Bacteria; Pseudomonadati; Pseudomonadota; Alphaproteobacteria; Rickettsiales
Description: tRNA-Leu
Rfam family: tRNA
About the family: Transfer RNA (tRNA) molecules are approximately 80 nucleotides in length. Their secondary structure includes four short double-helical elements and three loops (D, anti-codon, and T loops).
Source: RNAcentral